AUCUUGAAGUAGGACCAUUUGGGUGCAGGU
Molecule: non-coding RNA, 30 nt
Filed under: Mus musculus (house mouse)
Lineage: Eukaryota; Metazoa; Chordata; Mammalia; Rodentia; Muridae
Source: RNAcentral